Molecule: long non-coding RNA, 214 nt
Filed under: Lathyrus oleraceus (garden pea)
Lineage: Eukaryota; Viridiplantae; Streptophyta; Magnoliopsida; Fabales; Fabaceae
Description: Pisum sativum (pea) long non-coding RNA (PSAT_LNC014460)
Source: RNAcentral
GUUUUGUCAGAUCACAUGACAUUUUCGUGUCUUGGGUAGCAGUGAUGUGUUGCUAGAUACCGCUCACUGUUUAUUAUGUUAAAUGCGUGAUUUAAUAUAAUUGCCAACGUCACGAAAACCUACAGGGUCACACACAAAGGACGGAUUGAUGAGAGAUAGAGUAACUAAGGAAUACCGUAAGGUACGGUGCCCUUAAGUGGAUUAUAGAACAUCG